CUUGGUCAUUUAGAGGAAGUAAAAGUCGUAACAAGGUUUCCGUAGGUGAACCUGCGGAAGGAUCAUUAUUGAAAACUUAGUUCAAUGGGGACGCCGUCAAGGGAGGGAAACCUCUCUCGGGUCCCUUGUGAUCUUAUCCACCCUUUGUGAACUGGACCCAAACAAUUUUCUUUUUAAACGCUAAGAAACAUGUUUUGAAUGGGCUCGUAAUUGAAUAAAUAAGUAAACAACUUUCAGCAACGGAUCUCUUGGCUCUCGCAUCGAUGAAGAACGCAGCGAAAUGCGAUAAGUAAUGUGAAUUGCAGAACUCAGUGAAUCAUCGAAUCUUUGAACGCAACUUGCGCCUCUUGGUAUUCCGAGAGGCACGCCUGUUUGAGUGUCAUGCUUUCAAACCAACCUGGUUGAGCAUUUUCGCGCUUGCUUCUGAUUCUGGAAGCAUGGUGUGGGACUGUGUUCAGUCUGGCUUGGAGCUUCUUUAAGUAGUUGAGUCGUUGUAGUCUUCACGGAUUACUCGCUCGAAAGAUCUAAGUGUUGGAUGUGGUUAAGAGGAAUGAUCAGAUUUUGGUUCUGCCAUCAUCCGCAUCUCGCUUGUUAGAAUCUUCUAAGUGAGUGUGCGCUGUCCUCUGUCUCGAGACGUGUCGCGUAUCGAGGGCCGCUCCAGAUUGUCCAAGACCUCAAAUCAGGUGGGAUUACCCGCUGAACUUAAGCAUAUCAAUAAGCGGAGGAAAAGAAACUAACAAGGAUUCCCUUAGUAACGGCGAGUGAAGUGGGAAGAGCUCAAAUUUGUAAUCUGGCAGUCUUACUGUCCGAGUUGUAGCCUCGAGAGGUGUUUUCCGUGUCGAGCCACUCGUGAGUCUGUUGGAAUAUAGCGUCAGUGAGGGUGAUAAUCCCUACAACGAGUCUGGCAAGAUGCCCUAUGAUACACCCUCCAAGAGUCGAGUUGUUUGGGAAUGCAGCUCUAAGCGGGUGGUAAAUUCCAUCUAAAGCUAAAUAUUGGCGAGAAACCGAUAGCGAACAAGUACCGUGAGGGAAAGAUGAAAAGAACUUUGAAAAGAGAGUUAAACAGUACGUGAAAUUGUUGAAAGGGAAACGCUUGAAGUCAGUCGUGUCUUUCAGAAAUCAACUUGACCUUGGUUGGGCGUACUUUCUGUUGGACAGGUCAGCAUCAAUUUUGAUCGUUGGAUAAAGACUUGAGGAAUGUGGCAACUUGUUUGUGUUAUAGCCUCUUGUUCAGAUACAAUGGUUGGGAUUGAGGAACUCAGUGUGACUUCGGUUUGGCCCUCGGGUACAUCCCACACUUAGGAUGCUGGCAUAACGGCUUUAAUCGACCCGUCUUGAAACACGGACC
This 1348-nucleotide ribosomal RNA is filed under the name uncultured fungus. Its description in RNAcentral is "eukaryotic LSU rRNA". The stretch from base 670 to 1348 matches the Rfam family "Eukaryotic large subunit ribosomal RNA", at positions 1 to 667 of the family's 3401-position model. The record is from RNAcentral. Lineage: Eukaryota; Fungi.